Molecule: signal recognition particle RNA, 298 nt
Filed under: Carlito syrichta (Philippine tarsier)
Lineage: Eukaryota; Metazoa; Chordata; Mammalia; Primates; Tarsiidae
Description: Metazoan signal recognition particle RNA (ENSTSYG00000026286.1)
Rfam family: Metazoan signal recognition particle RNA
About the family: The signal recognition particle (SRP) is a universally conserved ribonucleoprotein.
Source: RNAcentral
GCCGGGUGUGGUGGUUUGUGUCUGUAGUCCCAGUUUCUUGGGAGGCUGCAGUUGGAGGAUUGCUUGAAUUCAGGAAUUUUGGACUGUAGUGCUCUGUGCAGAUCGAGUGUCUGCGUUAAGCUUGGCAUCAAUAUGGUGACCUCCUGGGAGCAGGGGACAACUAGGUUGCCUAGGGAGAGGUGAACCGGCCCGGCUUGGAAAUGAAGCAGGUCAAAACUCCUGUGUGGCUCAGUAAUGGGUUCGCGCCUGUGAAUAGCCUUUGCCCUCCAGCCUGGACAACAGGCUGUCUCUAAAAGAA